This is a long non-coding RNA of Accipiter nisus (Eurasian sparrowhawk), 1887 nucleotides long. Lineage: Eukaryota; Metazoa; Chordata; Aves; Accipitriformes; Accipitridae. The record is from Ensembl.
AUGUCCCCGGGGCCUGCGACGGCCCCGGCGGAGGGAGGCAGGGAGACGGCGGAGGUAAGGAGCCCGGCGGCGGGCGGCCCCGCCGGGGUGGACCCGGCCGCGGGGCGCCCGUGGGGCCGUGGCCGCGGGGCGCGGGCGGGCUGGGAGGCAGGGCGGGGAGGCCGGACUCCUCCUCCGGCGAGGCCGGACGUGAACGCCAGGCGCGCCGGUGGCCCGCGGUGGCCCGCGGUGCGUGGGACGCCGGCCGGCCCCGCCGCGGCCCAGGCGCUGCCCGCAUGGCUCCCCGCUCUGCCCCCCUUCCCCCCUCCGCCGCCCCAAACCCAUCCCCGCCGGGUCCCCACGGGCCCGGGCGGCCCGCUCUGUGCGAGGGGAUCCCCGGGGGGGGGGGGGGGGGGGGGGCUCUGCCCGCCCGACGCCGGGCGUGGGGUCCCCGCGGGGCUCUGCUCCCGGGGCGCUCCGGGGAGGGCUGAACUCGUCCCCGGGGGUUGUCCGUGGGUCCGUCCUGCCGGCGCUGUGGCCGGGCCGUCGAGGCAGGGAGCCCCGCUCGGGGGACGUCCGUCCGUCCGUGCGUCUGUCCGUCCGUCCGGGCUGCGCGUCCGUCCGCCUGCCCGGCGGUGCCGAGAGGUGUGCGCAGACCCGGGGGUCGGCCGGCGGGCGGGUGGUGGUGGCGGGGGUCGGGGGCCGCCGGGGGACCCGCUGCCGGUGCCGGUGCCGCUGCCGGCGGGGUGCGAGGCUCCGCGGGAGCUCGGCGGCGGUGCGCGCCCCGGCGCGGAGCCGGUGCUGAUGUGGGUCGGGCCGCGGCUCCUGCUGCUGACGGGAUCCCGGUGCCGCCGCGGUCCCGGGGCGGUCCCGGCGCUCGUGCGGGUCGGAGUCCCGGUGCCGCCGCCGUGCGGGUCGGGGCGCCGGUCGGGAUCCUGGUGCGGGCGCGGAUCGCGGUCCCGGUGCCGGUGCCGGUGCCCGCCCCACCGGUCAGGUGACGGCGGCUGGAAUUUGACACCGCCGGCGGCGGCGGCGGCGGCGGGAGCGGGAUGGAGCCGCCGCUGCCCCGCACUGCGCGCCCGCCCGCCGCCACCGGCACCGCACCCCGAGGCCCACCGCGACCGGGACACGCACCCCGAGGCGCAGCGGGAGCGGCACCGGGAGCCGCGGCGGGAGCCGGUGCCGGUGCCGGUGCCGGAGGGGCAGCGCCGGCCCCCGCCCGCGCCCCGCCCCGGCGCGGCGGCAGCGGGCGGCGGGGGGCGGCGGGGAGCGGAGGCGAUGCGGGGAGGCGGCGGCCCGGGGGAUGGUCCCCGCCGCGGGCACGGUGAGUGCGGGCCGGGGCGGCGGGCGGCAGCGUCCGCCCCAGCCUGCCGGAGGCUCCGGGCCUCGGCGGCGGCUCGUACCGGGGCUGCGGGGGAGGGUGGGGGGGAGGCGGGGUGGGGGGGCGCUUCGCCGCCCGUACCCCGGCAAUACCCGCGGGGCGCCGAGGGGGGUCGGGCCGCCCCCCGGCAGGUCCCCGCCGGGCGGCUGCCGGGGUGCCGAGCCCGGCCCGGCGGCGGGAAGAGCUCGGGGCUGCGGCGGGGACGGGGUUCCCUGCGCGGGCGGGGAGAGGCGGGACCCCGCGGCGGGUGCCCGGGGGGCACGGGGACGGUCUCACCCGCCUCUUCCCCGGGCUCCCGCCCCGGCCCUUUGGGCACGUCGGGCAGGUCUGUGUCCCGGCUGCCCGGGCGGUGGGCGGGGGAGAGCCCCGGGGUCGGGGUGCCCGGUCCGGCGCCGCCCGGUGACCCCCGGCUCUGCUUUCCCCGGGCCGGGGCCGAGUUUGGUCUCGCCCGUGUGCCCCACGUGUCCGACUCCGGCCUCCCCCGGCUUUGCGGGGCGGGUGCAGCUCCGCGUCACACGUGGGGUUGA